Long non-coding RNA from Helianthus annuus (common sunflower), 680 nucleotides. RefSeq lists it as uncharacterized. Lineage: Eukaryota; Viridiplantae; Streptophyta; Magnoliopsida; Asterales; Asteraceae. The record is from RefSeq and is a predicted model, not a curated record. The transcript is spliced from 3 exons.
UUUUUAAAACAAAAACCUAGCUACUUUCAAAAAAAAAAAAAGAAAAAAAAAACAACAGCCACGCAUCAUAACAUUCUCUCCCUCUCGUUUUGAUUCCGGUGAUCGGAGUAGAAUUCCGGCAACCACAGCACACCCAAACCUCUCCUCUGGUUAUACACUCCCUGUAAGACGACGGCGGUGGUGUGGCAGCCUCGGCGGCCGGCGAAGCAACCCCAUGUCUCUCCGGUUCGUGACUUGGGUGAAGGACUAGUCAAGGUAGAGGUGGCUGUGGUUCGAUUCGGUUCCGGCAGGUGACGACGAAGCUGCAGCGACGUGAUGAAGAUGACGGUGGGUCUCGGCAGAAGUUGAAGCUGGUGGUUGUUCCGGCUAGCGGCGCCGGCGACGGAGACGACGACGGCAGCAGGUGGUCCGUGAACUCGUGAAUCACUGGGGUGUGGUUGACCAACUCAGGACAAACGCUUUAUUUACCGAGGAAAGCAAAGGUCUUUAGGUCCAUAAGGACUGGAACUUGCUAUCUGGGAAGCUGGAGUGGUCAUGGGUCGAGAUACGUGGAAACACAGCACAACGCAGAGAGCUUUUACAUGUGAUUUAUAAACACUUAACGAAUUAAAUAUGCUUCCGCUGUAAACUGUGAACUAUUGUAACACCUACUGUUAAUUAAUGAAAGUUUUAUUUUCAUA